UGAUGGUUCAAAUGACCUACAGCUGC
RNAcentral lists this non-coding RNA (26 nucleotides) under Mus musculus (house mouse). Lineage: Eukaryota; Metazoa; Chordata; Mammalia; Rodentia; Muridae. The record is from RNAcentral.